RNAcentral lists this ribosomal RNA (251 nucleotides) under uncultured Streptococcus sp. Its description in RNAcentral is "partial 16S ribosomal RNA". It matches the Rfam family "Bacterial small subunit ribosomal RNA", at positions 1131 to 1374 of the family's 1533-position model. The record is from RNAcentral. Lineage: Bacteria; Bacillati; Bacillota; Bacilli; Lactobacillales; Streptococcaceae.
UUGGGCACUCUAGCGAGACUGCCGGUAAUAACCGGAGAAGUGGGGAUGACGUCAAAUCAUCAUGCCCCUUAUGACCUGGGCUACACACGUGCUACAAUGGUUGGUACAACGAGUUGCGAGUCGGUGACGGCGAGCUAAUCUCUUAAAGCCAAUCUCAGUUCGGAUUGUAGGCUGCAACUCGCCUACAUGAAGUCGGAAUCGCUAGUAAUCGCGGAUCAGCACGCCCGCGGUUCCGAAUACGUUCCGGCCUU